GACAAACGCUGGCGGCGUACCUAAGACAUGCAAGUCGAACGAGCUGUGAUCCUUCGGGGUGAUAGCGAGUGGCGGACGGGUGAGUAACGCGUAGGAACCUGACGCACAGUGGGGGAGUAACGCUGGGAACGUAGGCGCUAAGACCGCAUGUGGUCCGGAGACGGAAGAAAGACCAUUCACGAAAGUAGGGCGGUGCUGUGUGAGGGGCCGUGCGUCCGAUUAGCUAGUUGGUGGGUAAAGGCCGUACCAACGGCGACGAUCGGUAGCUGGUCUGAGAGGAUGAU
RNAcentral lists this ribosomal RNA (284 nucleotides) under uncultured bacterium. Its description in RNAcentral is "partial 16S ribosomal RNA". It matches the Rfam family "Bacterial small subunit ribosomal RNA", at positions 28 to 304 of the family's 1533-position model. The record is from RNAcentral.